RNAcentral lists this long non-coding RNA (903 nucleotides) under Leguminivora glycinivorella. Its description in RNAcentral is "uncharacterized LOC125240668". The record is from RNAcentral. Lineage: Eukaryota; Metazoa; Arthropoda; Insecta; Lepidoptera; Tortricidae.
UCCUAGCGAAAUCACGAUAUGCAUUUUCGCCACUGACGGUGACGCAACUAAAUAAUAUUAUUAUGAAAGUUACGGGCUCUGAAUAUUAUAAAUAUAAUUUUCCCUCUGUUUCUGAGAACGGUUUUAGAGUUGGCAACCCCGGACCGCGACGCGCCGCGAGCGACUGAAGGACUUGUAUCCAUGGUCUGGAAAUAAAUUAAAAAAAAAACGGCGGACGCCAAUGCCGCCAUCUUCUAUCGUGUCGUGCGUGCUGUGCUGCUGUGUGAACUUGAAAUAAAUCCGCUAGCUGAAGCUAGCUGACCGGAUCGGAAAAAUGGUUCAGGGUUCUUUUUGUUGCCCCAUGCCCCAUCAUCUGCCGCCAUCCUGGACAAGUCGGCGAUCAAUAACAGGACCCGGCCUGCGAGCAAUGGCCAAUGAAGUCUAUCCCAGUGCCACGUCAUCAAGUCAUCACGCAGUCGUCGGGUGCAAAUGACGCGGCGGAUCUUUCUCAAGCUUAGAAAGAUGGUUGUGGCCCAGAGCCCCGCUACUUCGUGCCAGGCCAUUCUCCAACUGCAGAUCCAUGUGUCAUCGCGACAGUGCACUCACUCACCUUGUUUGGCCCGAUGGAAUUUGGUAUGUCACCUGAGGCGAGGAGUAGGUGCGUGUGCGAACGGCCUUAGUGACGCCUCUACAGCGCGACGGGUGUAUUCUCCUCAAAUAUGAGAAGGAGCUCGGGUCCUGCGGGCUCUUAACCGUCGUAGUAUUCACGCAGUGUUUUAAAAUAGUGUUUGUGUGUAUUAUGAUAACAUAUGUUCAAUUCAAAUGUCUAACACUACAUAAGUAUACAUAUCAUUUUUCAUUAGUAUGGUGCUGUUUUUGCGGUCUGAAGAAAAAACUUCAAAUAAAAUAAUUAUGUUGUCUGUA